This 117-nucleotide ribosomal RNA is filed under the name Acidobacteriota bacterium. Lineage: Bacteria; Pseudomonadati; Acidobacteriota. The record is from RNAcentral.
CCCGGUGGCUGUAGCGGAGGGGCCACACCCGUUCCCAUUCCGAACACGGAAGUUAAGCCCUCCAGCGCCGAUGGUACUGCAAGGGUGACUUUGUGGGAGAGUAGGACGUUGCCGGGA